Molecule: long non-coding RNA, 802 nt
Organism: Planococcus citri (citrus mealybug)
Lineage: Eukaryota; Metazoa; Arthropoda; Insecta; Hemiptera; Pseudococcidae
Exons: 5
Source: RefSeq, a predicted model, not a curated record
GGUACCUAAAUAAUGUCUUACAGUAUUUCUGCGUCGCGUCGUGACAGCUAUAUUUUUUCUGUGUUAUGUACUCGUACCUACAGUGUUUUCAACGAGUGAAUUUUAUAUCUCGGUACUUGAGUUGCUAUUUUUUCGAAUAUUCGAUCAAAACAAGCCAUCAACUGUUCUCUAAUUGCAAGAGAGUUUUUGAAUUUGCUUUUUGCGUAUCUAUUGGCUGCUUUACCUAGGAGUCAUCUGCAUUUCAAAAUUUAAGAAAAUGAUGCGACACUCAUCUGUUUUACUCAUUAUAUUGAUUGCGUUUUCAGCAUAUUGUUUUGGAGUAAUGAUCCCUUAUCAAAAUAGAUCUAGACUCUAUUAUUCCGCGGAAGAAGACCUCACUAUUACGUGUACUGGUACAGAUGAAAUCGCAUGGAACCGCUCCUUGAACGAGCAUGAUAAUUACGCAGUAAUUACGGAAACCCCACACAGAAAAAUCCUUCAAAUAAAAAACGCUUCAGCCUUGAAUUCUGGGAUUUACCAAUGUUUUUCAACAACGAACAGCAGCGACUUCAUGCACAUUUUUCUUUUUCCUGAUAGAUCCUGUUUCGAAUAUAGAAAGUGACCAAAAUUUCCAUACCUUAAUAUCCUGACUACCCUAUCGAUGAUUGAAGAAUAUAAUCUUGAAUUAUUAGCACCUUUAACUGGAUAAUCUAAAACUAUGACAUAAUGUAUUACGUUUAAUUAACCUAGGUCCAAUAAUAAUAUUCGAGUGUAAACUCAACUACAUAUGUACCUAUAUUAAAACUAAAGAAUCUGCUUGUGA